RNAcentral lists this ribosomal RNA (262 nucleotides) under uncultured bacterium. RNAcentral's name for it is "partial 16S ribosomal RNA". It matches the Rfam family "Bacterial small subunit ribosomal RNA", at positions 62 to 339 of the family's 1533-position model. The record is from RNAcentral.
UUGAACGAACAUUUGGGGCUUGCUCCAAAUAGUGAGUGGCAAACGGGUGAGUAACACGUGGGAAUCUACCCAUCAGUACGGAAUAGCAUUUGGAAACAGAUGAUAAUACCGUAUAUUCUCGUAAGAGGAAAGAUUUAUCGCUGAUGGAUGAGCCCGCGCCUGAUUAGGUAGUUGGUGGGGUAAUGGCCUACCAAGCCUUCGAUCAGUAGCUGGUCUGAGAGGAUGAUCAGCCACACUGGGACUGAGACACGGCCCAGACUCC